GACGAACGCUGGCGGCGUGCUUAACACAUGCAAGUCGAACGAAAAGAGGGAAAGAGCUUGCUCUUUCCGGAAUUGAGUGGCAAACGGGUGAGUAACACGUAAACAACCUGCCUUCAGGAUGGGGACAACAGACGGAAAUGACUGCUAAUACCGAAUAAGUUCCAAGGGCCGCAUGGCCCAUGGAAGAAAAGGUGGCCUCUACCUGUAAGCUAUCGCCUGAAGAGGGGUUUGCGUCUGAUUAGCUGGUUGGAGGGGUAACGGCCCACCAAGGCGACGAUCAGUAGCCGGUCUGAGAGGAUGAACGGCCACACUGGAAUUGAGACACGGUCCAGACUCCUACGGGAGGCAGCAGUGGGGAAUCUUCCGCAAUGGGCGAAAGCCUGACGGAGCAACGCCGCGUGAGUGAUGACGGCCUUCGGGUUGUAAAACUCUGUGAUCCGGGACGAAAAGGCAGAGUGCGAAGAACAAACUGCAUUGACGGUACCGGAAAAGCAAGCCACGGCUAACUACGUG
Molecule: ribosomal RNA, 513 nt
Filed under: uncultured bacterium
Lineage: Bacteria
Description: partial 16S ribosomal RNA
Rfam family: Bacterial small subunit ribosomal RNA
Source: RNAcentral